RNAcentral lists this ribosomal RNA (338 nucleotides) under uncultured bacterium. RNAcentral's name for it is "bacterial SSU rRNA". It matches the Rfam family "Bacterial small subunit ribosomal RNA", at positions 1 to 334 of the family's 1533-position model. The record is from RNAcentral.
CUAGCGACUUCAGAGUUUGAUCCUGGCUCAGGAUUAACGCUGGCGGCGUGCAUAACACAUUCAAGUCGAACGGAGAGGACUGCUUCGGUAGUCUUCUUAGUGGCGGACGGGUGAGUAACGCGUGAGUAAUCUACCCCUGGGUACGGAAUAACAACCGGAAACAGUUGCUAAUACCGUAUGAAAUGGCAGUACCGCAUGGUACAACCAUCAAAGAUAUAUUGCCCUGGGAUGAGCUUGCGUCCGAUUAGAUAGUUGGCGGGGUAACGGCCCACCAAGUCGACGAUCGGUAGCCGGACUGAGAGGUUGAACGGCCACAUUGGAACUGAGAUACGGUCCAG